AUGGUGAAGAUCAUUCUCCUCCUCCUGGCACCCCUUGGCAUGGCCGCCGCAAGCACGGACUGCCCUGGCGUGCUGUCGCUGGACGGGUCUUCUGCCUGCGGCCAGUCGUGCGGCACGAAGCUCUUGCAAGAUCUCUGCAUCCAUGUGAUGGUCUGGGGCGGCGUCGACAUGUCCAGGUCGCAAAAGGAGGGGGGCACCGGGUACGUGAUCCUUGCCGCGCGGUUCGCCGUGGAAUCCAUGGACGCCACGCGGCUCGCCGCGAGGAACCAGCUCAGUCAGAACACCUCGCUCUCUGGCCAGGAGAGGGACGCCUACGAGGGGUGCCUGAACGACUACGCCGCGGCGAGAAGCUCUAUCAACCACGUCGCCAAAGAGAUGCUGCCUGGGGUUGCCGACGAGUUUGCACGUGGGGUGAAGAGCUUGGAGAGCUGCUGGAUCCGGCUGAUGCGGCCGCCUAAGUCGACGCCGCUGUAUGACUUGGUCUGGGCCGACCGAUACAAACUACUGCUGAUUCACAUGCUUGAUAGUAAACUACUAGGCAUAUGA
RNAcentral lists this ribosomal RNA (546 nucleotides) under Triticum aestivum (bread wheat). RNAcentral's name for it is "partial small subunit ribosomal RNA". Lineage: Eukaryota; Viridiplantae; Streptophyta; Magnoliopsida; Poales; Poaceae. The record is from RNAcentral.